AUUGAACGCUGGCGGCAGGCCUAACACAUGCAAGUCGAACGGUAACAGGAAGCAGCUUGCUGCUUCGCUGACGAGUGGCGGACGGGUGAGUAAUGUCUGGGAAACUGCCUGAUGGAGGGGGAUAACUACUGGAAACGGUAGCUAAUACCGCAUAACGUCGCAAGACCAAAGAGGGGGACCUUAGGGCCUCUUGCCAUCGGAUGUGCCCAGAUGGGAUUAGCUAGUAGGUGGGGUAACGGCUUACCUAGGCGACGAUCCCUAGCUGGUCUGAGAGGAUGACCAGCGACACUGGGACUGAGACACGGUACAGACUCCUACGGGAGGUAGCAGUGGGGAAUAGUGCACAAUGGGCGCAAGCCUGAUGCAGCCGUGCCGCGUGUAUGAAGAAGGCCUUCGGGUUGUAAAGUACUUUCAGCGGGGAGGAAGGGAGUAAAGUUAAUACCUUUUCUCAUUGACGUUACCCGCAGAAGAAGCACCGGCUAACUCCGUG
RNAcentral lists this ribosomal RNA (490 nucleotides) under uncultured bacterium. RNAcentral describes it as "partial 16S ribosomal RNA". It matches the Rfam family "Bacterial small subunit ribosomal RNA", at positions 30 to 507 of the family's 1533-position model. The record is from RNAcentral.